UGGGGAAUAUUGCACAAUGGGCGCAAGCCUGAUGCAGCCAUGCCGCGUGUAUGAAGAAGGCCUUCGGGUUGUAAAGUACUUUCAGCGGGGAGGAAGGUGUUGCGGUUAAUAACCGCAGCAAUUGACGUUACCCGCAGAAGAAGCACCGGCUAACUCCGUGCCAGCAGCCGCGGUAAUACGGAGGGUGCAAGCGUUAAUCGGAAUUACUGGGCGUAAAGCGCACGCAGGCGGUCUGUUAAGUCAGAUGUGAAAUCCCCGGGCUUAACCUGGGAACUGCAUUUGAAACUGGCAGGCUUGAGUCUUGUAGAGGGGGGUAGAAUUCCAGGUGUAGCGGUGAAAUGCGUAGAGAUCUGGAGGAAUACCGGUGGCGAAGGCGGCCCCCUGGACAAAGACUGACGCUCAGGUGCGAAAGCGUGGGGAGCAAACAGG
Molecule: ribosomal RNA, 429 nt
Filed under: uncultured Pantoea sp.
Lineage: Bacteria; Pseudomonadati; Pseudomonadota; Gammaproteobacteria; Enterobacterales; Erwiniaceae
Description: bacterial SSU rRNA
Rfam family: Bacterial small subunit ribosomal RNA
Source: RNAcentral